GUGUCCCCUCCCAGCUUUUUGUGCACUUCCAGCCUCCUUGCUGGCAUUACAGCAUGAGAAGCUGAAAAGUCCUCAACUUAGUGUAAGCACUUCUCAGCAACCACUAAAACAUGAGUGUUAUGAACAUUCUUAUGCUAAAUUUAAAGC
This is a long non-coding RNA of Egretta garzetta (little egret), 147 nucleotides long. RefSeq lists it as uncharacterized. The transcript is spliced from 4 exons. The record is from RefSeq and is a predicted model, not a curated record. Lineage: Eukaryota; Metazoa; Chordata; Aves; Pelecaniformes; Ardeidae.